UAAAAGAUUUAGGGGCCAAAA
This 21-nucleotide non-coding RNA is filed under the name Caenorhabditis elegans. Lineage: Eukaryota; Metazoa; Nematoda; Chromadorea; Rhabditida; Rhabditidae. The record is from RNAcentral.